This is a long non-coding RNA of Urocitellus parryii (Arctic ground squirrel), 419 nucleotides long. RefSeq lists it as uncharacterized. The record is from RefSeq and is a predicted model, not a curated record. Lineage: Eukaryota; Metazoa; Chordata; Mammalia; Rodentia; Sciuridae.
UCGCCUCGGCUGCCCGGCGCCGGAGGACUGCGCAGCCUGAGUGCCCUGGGAGCCCUUUGAGGGACUCCUCUAGGGGAGGACAACCUGUCACCCUGGAGGCUAAAGUGGCACCUGAUGUCAUCGUCUUUGAGACUUGAGGAUGUGUUGGAUGUCUCCUGAAUUCAAAAAAUGAAAUCCACAGGCACAAAGGGCUUCUUCCGCCCAGGAUGGUGGCCCAGCAGCAGCUCAGUCCARGCUGGUGAAGCAAACUCCUCUGUCCACUCUGGUCCUGUGUCCACAAGGAGCCAACUCCCUGAGGAAUUCAUGAGCAGCCCCACCAAUGUGCUUGUUGACAGGUACUCUGUGUCCUCCUGGCCUCCUGGGGCCCUGCUGCAGGAAGAGGCCCCUCUAAUGCCAAGGUAAGAUGGGAAAUAGUUUCU